GGACCCAUGGCGCAACGGUAGCGCGUCAGAUUCCAGAAACGGUUGGUUCAUUAUCCUCCCCAGCAAACUGGAACUUCCUGAAGGUUAAGUGUUCAAAUCACUUUGGGUUCA
This is a non-coding RNA of Cephalotrichum gorgonifer, 111 nucleotides long. Lineage: Eukaryota; Fungi; Ascomycota; Sordariomycetes; Microascales; Microascaceae. The record is from the annotation of a GenBank genome assembly.